UGGGGAAUAUUGCGCAAUGGGGGAAACCCUGACGCAGCAACGCCGCGUGAAGGAUGAAGGUUUUCGGAUUGUAAACUUCUUUGAUGAGGGACGAACACAAUGACGGUACCUCAAAAACAAGCCACGGCUAACUACGUGCCAGCAGCCGCGGUAAUACGUAGGUGGCGAGCGUUGUCCGGAAUUACUGGGUGUAAAGGGCGCGUAGGCGGGUCUGCAAGUCAGAUGUGAAAUACCGGGGCUUAACCCCGGGGCUGCAUUUGAAACUGCAGGUCUUGAGUGAUGGAGAGGCAAGCGGAAUUCCUAGUGUAGCGGUGAAAUGCGUAGAUAUUAGGAGGAACACCAGUGGCGAAGGCGGCUUGCUGGACAUUAACUGACGCUGAGGCGCGAAAGCGUGGGGAGCAAACGGG
RNAcentral lists this ribosomal RNA (407 nucleotides) under uncultured prokaryote. RNAcentral describes it as "bacterial SSU rRNA". It matches the Rfam family "Bacterial small subunit ribosomal RNA", at positions 355 to 776 of the family's 1533-position model. RNAcentral also lists the same sequence under 1 other name. The record is from RNAcentral.